RNAcentral lists this long non-coding RNA (911 nucleotides) under Mytilus galloprovincialis (Mediterranean mussel). Lineage: Eukaryota; Metazoa; Mollusca; Bivalvia; Mytilida; Mytilidae. The record is from RNAcentral.
GGAAUUUCCCUAAUUAGAGAGAUGGUUGCUGAUUGGUCCGACUUAUGUAAGAGAGUCUGUGAUUGGCUGACAUUCUUAUAAAACUAAAAUGAUCAACUACGGAAAGCAGUAAUUGUUGUGGUUUGGAAUUGAAUGUUAUGAAACACCAAACUUGAAAUCUCGGAGAAUUUAGGAGGAAAUUAGGAGACGAAUUAGGGAGACAUUAGGAGGAAAUUAGGAGACUUUAGGAGGAAAUUAAGGAGACAAUUAGGGAGACAUUAGGAGGAAAUUAAGGAGACUUUAGGAGACAUUAGGAGGAAAAUAGGGAGACAUUAGGAGGAAAUUAGGGAGACAUUAGGAGGAAAUUAGGGAGACAUUAGGAGGAAAUUAAGGAGACGAAUUUGGGAGAAGCUGGGAGUAAAUCUCGGUGACUCAGUUUGGGUGGUAAUAGUUGGUGACAAUAUAUGUAGAGGGUAAAUUAUACCUAUAGUUUUAAUUAGCAAAGAGAUAUAUGUCUUGGUGACAAUCAUAACCUUUAGUAUUUAUAUACAGAUGGUUAUUUUAAAUAGAUGUUGUUGAAUUAAGCCGGCUACAUAAUUUUAUAGGUGUUCUUUUAUUGAGACCCUUUGUAAGCCUGAAUGAGCUAUAUGCUAAUGGUAGUUUUUUUUAACUAGUCGACUGAAUCUACAGAGUGGUUAUACUCUGGAUUGUUAUAUAUAUGUGUGUAUAUAUAUUUAAUUAGUUAGACCAACCAUACCAGGAACCCAACUUCCAAACCAGAAACAGCUAGAGCCUUCACAGCCAUUUUAAGAUUGUUAAAUAAAUUAUCACAACUUUUAUAUGCUUUGUCUUUUAUUUAUAAAUAAUAAUUAUAUAACAUUUUUCUAGGUUAACGAAGCUGUAAAGUGUGUUGGUUCGACGGUAUUCCAAUU